CACGUAGGGGGCGAGCGUUGUCCGGAUUCAUUGGGCGUAAAGGGCGCGCAGGCGGCCCGGAAAGUCGGAUGUGAAAACCCGGGGCUCAACCCCGGGCGUGCAUUCGAUACUGCGUGGCUCGAGACAGGUAGGGGAGAUCGGAAUUCCUGGUGUAGCGGUGAAAUGCGCAGAUAUCAGGAGGAACACCGGUGGCGAAGGCGGAUCUCUGGGCCUGUUCUGACGCUGAGGCGCGAAAGCUAGGGGAGCGAACAGG
RNAcentral lists this ribosomal RNA (253 nucleotides) under uncultured bacterium. RNAcentral describes it as "partial 16S ribosomal RNA". It matches the Rfam family "Bacterial small subunit ribosomal RNA", at positions 524 to 776 of the family's 1533-position model. The record is from RNAcentral.